AGGUCACUGCUAUCGGUGUUCGAUUAAGCCAUGCGAGUCGUGAGGGGUAAAGCCCUCGGCGGAGUGCUCAGUAACACGUGGACAACCUACCCAAGAGUCAGGGAUAACCCCGGGAAACUGGGGAUAAUACCUGAUAGGCCAUGACAUCUGGAAUCGAGUUGUGGUUUAAACGUAAGGCUCUUGGAUGGGUCUGCGGCGGAUUAGGUUGUUGCCGGUGUAACGUACCAGCAAGCCUGUAAUCCGUACGGGUUGUGGGAGCAAGAGCCCGGAGAUGGAUUCUGAGACGCGAAUCCCGGCCCUACGGGGCGCAGCAGGCGCGAAAACUCUACAAUGCAGGCAACUGCGAUAGGGGAACAUCGAGUGGCAUCCACCAUGGAUGUCUGUCCAAUCGUCUAAAAAACGAUUGUCAGCAAGGGCCGGGCAAGACCGGUGCCAGCCGCCGCGGUAAUACCGGCGGCUCGAGUGGUGGCCGAUAUUAUUGAGUCUAAAGGGUCCGUAGCCGGCUUUGCAAGUCCUAUGGGAAAUCCAGCGGCUUAACCGUUGGGCUUUCAUGGGAUACUACAUUGCUUGGGACUGGGAGAGGUAGGAGGUACUCAGGGGGUAGGGGUGAAAUCCUGUAAUCCUUUGGGGACCACCGGUGGCGAAGGCGUCCUACCAGAACAGGUCCGACGGUGAGGGACGAAAGCUAGGGGCACGAACCGGAUUAGAUACCCCGGGUAGUCCUAGCCGUAAACGAUGCUCGCUAGGUGUCACGGCAGUCGUGAAUUGUCCUGAUGCCGUAGGGAAGCCGUGAAGCGAGCCACUUGGGAAGUACGACCGCAAGGUUGAAACUUA
Molecule: ribosomal RNA, 834 nt
Filed under: uncultured soil archaeon
Lineage: Archaea
Description: bacterial SSU rRNA
Rfam family: Archaeal small subunit ribosomal RNA
Source: RNAcentral